CGGGGCGUAGCGCAGCCUGGUAGCGCACCAGCAUGGGGUGCUGGGGGUCGUGAGUUCGAAUCUCACCGUCCCGACCA
This 77-nucleotide transfer RNA is filed under the name Rehaibacterium terrae. RNAcentral's name for it is "tRNA-Pro". It matches the Rfam family "tRNA". From Rfam's summary of the family: Transfer RNA (tRNA) molecules are approximately 80 nucleotides in length. Their secondary structure includes four short double-helical elements and three loops (D, anti-codon, and T loops). RNAcentral also lists the same sequence under 1 other name. Lineage: Bacteria; Pseudomonadati; Pseudomonadota; Gammaproteobacteria; Lysobacterales; Lysobacteraceae. The record is from RNAcentral.